RNAcentral lists this ribosomal RNA (467 nucleotides) under uncultured bacterium. Its description in RNAcentral is "partial 16S ribosomal RNA". It matches the Rfam family "Bacterial small subunit ribosomal RNA", at positions 329 to 792 of the family's 1533-position model. The record is from RNAcentral.
GACCAGACUCCUACGGGAGGCAGCAGUGAGGAAUAUUGGUCAAUGGGCGGAAGCCUGAACCAGCCAAGUCGCGUGAGGGAAGAAGGCCCUGCGGGUCGCAGACCUCUUUGGACGGGGAGCAAGGCCGCCGACGUGUCGGCGGAAGGAGAGUACCCGUAGAACAAGCAUCGGCUAACUCCGUGCCAGCAGCCGCGGUAAUACGGAGGAUGCGAGCGUUAUCCGGAUUUAUUGGGUGUAAAGGGAGCGUAGACGGUAUGGCAAGUCUGAAGUGAAAGCCCAGGGCUUAACCCUGGGACUGCUUUGGAAACUGUUAGACUAGAGUGCUGGAGAGGUAAGUGGAAUUCCUAGUGUAGCGGUGAAAUGCGUAGAUAUUAGGAGGAACACCAGUGGCGAAGGCGGCUUACUGGACAGUAACUGACGUUGAGGCUCGAAAGCGUGGGGAGCAAACAGGAUUAGAUACCCGCGUA